This 460-nucleotide ribosomal RNA is filed under the name uncultured bacterium. RNAcentral's name for it is "partial 16S ribosomal RNA". It matches the Rfam family "Bacterial small subunit ribosomal RNA", at positions 338 to 795 of the family's 1533-position model. The record is from RNAcentral.
CCUACGGGUGGCAGCAGUGAGGAAUAUUGGUCAAUGGACGAGAGUCUGAACCAGCCAAGUAGCGUGAAGGAUGACUGCCCUAUGGGUUGUAAACUUCUUUUAUAAAGGAAUAAAAUGAUGCACGUGUGCCUUUUUGUAUGUACUUUAUGAAUAAGGAUCGGCUAACUCCGUGCCAGCAGCCGCGGUAAUACGGAGGAUCCGAGCGUUAUCCGGAUUUAUUGGGUUUAAAGGGAGCGUAGGUGGGUUGUUAAGUCAGUUGUGAAAGUUUGCGGCUCAACCGUAAAAUUGCAAUUGAUACUGGCAGUCUUGAGUACAGUAGAGGUGGGCGGAAUUCGUGGUGUAGCGGUGAAAUGCUUAGAUAUCACGAAGAACCCCGAUUGCGAAGGCAGCUUACUAAACUGUAACUGACAUUGAUGCUCGAAAGUGUGGGUAUCAAACAGGAUUAGAUACCCCAGUAGUC